Molecule: ribosomal RNA, 300 nt
Filed under: Triticum aestivum (bread wheat)
Lineage: Eukaryota; Viridiplantae; Streptophyta; Magnoliopsida; Poales; Poaceae
Description: partial small subunit ribosomal RNA
Source: RNAcentral
AUGUCUGAUGACAAGAGGGAGCUAAUAAACGCGCGGAGACGGGCAUCGUAUCGUAAGAACAAAGAGGAUGCUGACAAAAACAAGGAGCCACUAAAACCUCCGAGGCGAGGUGGUUAUCGAAAGAAAAAUGAGGACACCGCCAACAAGCAUCUCCAUGAAAAUCUCUCUGCCCUUGACAUAUCGGGUAUGCAAAGUGUACCACAGAGCGCUCUCGGUGAUAUCACUAAUGGGGAACAACCAUCCUCUAUAAUCCUUGAUGAUAAAAAGGUGCAGAAAAAGGCUCAAAGCCGAGCUACGUGA